Molecule: ribosomal RNA, 503 nt
Filed under: uncultured Glomeromycotina
Lineage: Eukaryota; Fungi; Glomeromycota
Description: SSU rRNA
Rfam family: Eukaryotic small subunit ribosomal RNA
Source: RNAcentral
CCAAUAGCGUAUAUUAAAGUUGUUGCAGUUAAAAAGCUCGUAGUUGAAUUUCGGGGUUAGUAGGUUGGUCAUGCCUCUGGUAUGUACUGGUCUCACUGAUUCCUCCUUCCUGAUGAACCUUAAUGCCAUUAAUUUGGUGUUUUGGGGAAUUUGGACUGUUACUUUGAAAAAUUAGAGUGUUUAAAGCAAGCUAACGCUUGAAUACAUUAGCAUGGAAUAAUGAAAUAGGACGUUCGAUCCUAUUUUGUUGGUUUCUAGGAUUGACGUAAUGAUUAAUAGGGAUAGUUGGGGGCAUUAGUAUUCAAUUGUCAGAGGUGAAAUUCUUGGAUUUAUUGAAGACUAACUACUGCGAAAGCAUUUGCCAAGGAUGUUUUCAUUAAUCAAGAACGAAAGUUAGGGGAUCGAAGACGAUCAGAUACCGUCGUAGUCUUAACCAUAAACUAUGCCGACUAGGGAUCGGAUGAUGUUAAUUUUUAAUGACUCAUUCGGCGCCUUACGAGAAA